CUAGCGACUUCAGAGUUUGAUCCUGGCUCAGGACGAACGCUGGCGGCGUGCCUAACACAUGCAAGUCGAGCGGAGACAUACGACGGAUUUGAAGUUUUCGGAUGGAGAUGAAGAUGUAUGUUUUAGCGGCGGACGGGUGAGUAACGCGUGAGCAACCUGUCCUUCACAGGGGGAUAACACAGCGAAAGUUGUUCUAAUACCGCAUAAGACCACAGAGCCACAUGGCUUAGGGGUCAAAGGAGGAAUCCGGUGAAGGGUGGGCUCGCGUCCGAUUAGAUAGUUGGUGAGGUAACGGCCCACCAAGUCGACGAUCGGUAGCCGACCUGAGAGGGUGAUCGGCCACAUUGGGACUGAGACACGGCCCAA
Molecule: ribosomal RNA, 366 nt
Filed under: uncultured bacterium
Lineage: Bacteria
Description: bacterial SSU rRNA
Rfam family: Bacterial small subunit ribosomal RNA
Source: RNAcentral